RNAcentral lists this ribosomal RNA (164 nucleotides) under Nicoraepoa pugionifolia. Its description in RNAcentral is "5.8S ribosomal RNA". It matches the Rfam family "5.8S ribosomal RNA". From Rfam's summary of the family: 5.8S ribosomal RNA (5.8S rRNA) is a component of the large subunit of the eukaryotic ribosome. RNAcentral also lists the same sequence under 3 other names. The record is from RNAcentral. Lineage: Eukaryota; Viridiplantae; Streptophyta; Magnoliopsida; Poales; Poaceae.
CACACGACUCUCGGCAACGGAUAUCUCGGCUCUCGCAUCGAUGAAGAACGUAGCGAAAUGCGAUACCUGGUGUGAAUUGCAGAAUCCCGCGAACCAUCGAGUCUUUGAACGCAAGUUGCGCCCGAGGCCACUUGGCYGAGGGCACGCCUGCCUGGGCGUCACGC